CAAUAAGCGGAGGAAAAGAAACCAACAGGGAUUGCCCCAGUAACGGCGAGUGAAGCGGCAACAGCUCAAAUUUGAAAUCUGGCCUCGUGCCCGAGUUGUAAUUUGUAGAGGAUGCUUUUGGCGACGCGCCUUCCGAGUUCCCUGGAACGGGACGCCAUAGAGGGUGAGAGCCCCGUCCGGUCGUGCGCCUAGCCUCUGUAAAGCUCCUUCGACGAGUCGAGUAGUUUGGGAAUGCUGCUCUAAAUGGGAGGUAUACGUCUUCUAAAGCUAAAUACCGGCCAGAGACCGAUAGCGCACAAGUAGAGUGAUCGAAAGAUGAAAAGCACUUUGAAAAGAGGGUUAAAUAGUACGUGAAAUUGCUGAAAGGGAAGCGCUUAUGACCAGACUUGGGCGCGGCGGAUCAUCCGGCGUUCUCGCCGGUGCACUCCACCGCCCCAGGCCAGCAUCAGUUCGCGCCGGGGGACAAAGGCUUCGGGAAUGUGGCUCCCUCGGGAGUGUUAUAGCCCGCUGCGUAAUACCCUGGCGCGGACUGAGGUCCGCGCUCUGCAAGGAUGCUGGCGUAAUGGUCAUCAGUGACCCGUCUUGAAACACGGACCAAGGAGUCGUCUUCGUAUGCGAGUGUUCGGGUGUCAAACCCCUACGCGGAAUGAAAGUGAACGUAGGAGAGAGCUUCGGCGCAUCUCCGACCGAUCCUGAUGUUCUCGGAUGGAUUUGAGUAAGAGCAUACGGGGCCGGACCCGAAAGAAGGUGAACUAUGCCUGUGUAGGGUGAAGCCAGAGGAAACUCUGGUGGAGGCUCGCAGCGGUUCUGACGUGCAAAUCGAUCGUCAAACAUGGGCAUGGGGGCGAAAGACUAAUCGAACCUUCUAGUAGCUGGUUUCCGCCGAAGUUUCCCUCAGGAUAGCAGUGUUGAACUCAGUUUUAUGAGGUAAAGCGAAUGAUUAGGGACCCGGGGG
RNAcentral lists this ribosomal RNA (955 nucleotides) under Emericellopsis terricola. RNAcentral's name for it is "eukaryotic LSU rRNA". It matches the Rfam family "Eukaryotic large subunit ribosomal RNA", at positions 44 to 1035 of the family's 3401-position model. Lineage: Eukaryota; Fungi; Ascomycota; Sordariomycetes; Hypocreales; Bionectriaceae. The record is from RNAcentral.